RNAcentral lists this ribosomal RNA (253 nucleotides) under uncultured bacterium. RNAcentral's name for it is "partial 16S ribosomal RNA". It matches the Rfam family "Bacterial small subunit ribosomal RNA", at positions 524 to 776 of the family's 1533-position model. The record is from RNAcentral.
UACGUAGGGUGCGAGCGUUAAUCGGAAUUACUGGGCGUAAAGCGUGCGCAGGCGGCGCGUUAAGACAGGUGUGAAAGCCCCGAGCUUAACUUGGGAAUUGCGCUUGUGACUGGCGUGCUGGAGUGUGGCAGAGGGAGGUGGAAUUCCACGUGUAGCAGUGAAAUGCGUAGAGAUGUGGGGGAACACCGAUGGCGAAGGCAGCCUCCUGGGCCAGCACUGACGCUCAUGCACGAAAGCGUGGGGAGCAAACGGG